This 531-nucleotide long non-coding RNA is filed under the name Anas platyrhynchos platyrhynchos (common mallard). Its description in RNAcentral is "lncRNA (ENSAPLG00000030816.1)". The record is from RNAcentral. Lineage: Eukaryota; Metazoa; Chordata; Aves; Anseriformes; Anatidae.
GGGGGCUGUGUAUGUGUAUGUGUGGGGCGCUGCUUGUGUCCCCCCCCCAGCCCCACUCAGCACCUGGAAAGCCGCUGCAGAACUUUCUGGAAGCCCCCGCACGCUGAAUGUGCUGCCCCCAUAGUGCUGGGCACGCAGGUAUUGUUACACUUCUGUGUCUCAGGCUGUAUUUUGUGCGUUCACAUACAAGCUUUGUGUGAUGUGUUUCCCUGGGGAGCUGCACCUAGGCUCAGGACAGCCAGAAGAUCUGGAUCGGGUACAAAGCAGGCACAGCAAACUAGUGUGCCAAGGGAUGCUGGGUUCCAGGUAUACUUACAAAAAGGAUCAUGGUAUUGUGAAGGAGACCUACUGCUCUUGACUGAAGCUCUUAUAUGCAGGCAACUCCUCAUGGCUCUUCCUCGUGUGAGCUUUAAAUGUGAUUCUACCAGAUACCUGAAAUGUUAUUUUAAACCUAAUCAGAUUUUAAUCUGUGACUCUACAGUGCUUCUGAAACCUAAGCAGAUGUGGAGAUCUGAGUACAGAAUGUGCUGA